CACCCAGUGGGUUUAAUGGCUGAGUGGAGAAUCAAACCCUGAUCUCUAGAGCUACAGUCCAGCACUCAGACCACUACAUCACACUGACUGUCACAUCCGCUACCAAACUAAUAGCACAUUUGAAAUGGAAGAAGUUUAAUUUUAAAAUCACAUUUGAACUACAUACAACUGAAUUGAAAUUUAUUUAGAAAAAAAUGGCAAACUAUUGUAAAUUGGAAAAUGAUCUCCUUUGGAUUAAAUAAACAAUGAGAAUAUUCUGUAUGCAACACAACCAUCUACUACCACUUCCCAAGGUACAUUGGGAGUUGGCUUGAGUAAUGAUUUAGAAAGAACCUCCUGACAGUAAGAGCUGCUGAACAGUGGAAUAGGCUUCCUUGAAGUAUGGUGGAGUCUCCUUCUUUGGAGUUGUUUAAACAGAGGCUGGGUGGCCAUCUGUUUGGGUGUGUGUGUGUGCUUUGAUUGUGAGUUCCUGCAUGGCAGAAGUGGGUUGGACUGCAUGGCCCUUGAGAUCUCAUCCAGCUUUAUGAAUCUGUGAUUUUAUGAUUUGUGACUUGUCAUUAAGGACACAAACCACUUUUGUUGCUGGGGGUGAGGGAGAAGGCAGGGCUUUGAUUCACAUAGUCAGUUUUCAAGUUCUUUGGCCAAAUUCUUCUCUCCCGUCCAAUGAAAGAACAGUCUUUCUUGCUCUCUGUUUCAAUCACCUGAAUCCUUUAUUGCUUGUGACUCUAGAAAGCCUGUUUCAAUCAACUGAAUUUUUUAUUGCUUGUGACUCUAGAAAGCCUCAUGCCCAAAAGGAAGAGUGUCCCCUCGCUGGAGAAACUGUGCCUGGAGAAUGUGGUUAAGAAUAUGGAAAGGCUCUGGCUUAAGCAUUGCGCUAUGGAUGGCAGCCUGGACAGGGACCACAGUCAUGACAUGAAAGGGCCCUUCAGCAUACUGGCUGGCUCCCUUCUCCAUGAAUUACUCAAUAUCAUGAGAAAGAGGAAACUCAUGAGUCCGGCCCUACUGCACCUUUUCUUUUUGCCACAGCUGAAGGAACUGAACUUGAGACCCUGGUCACAGCAAAUUGGAGGGACAAUUGCCCACAUCAUCUCAGUACGCUGCAAGAAGCAAGAUGCCCAAAAGAAAUAGAGAGCGCUUGCUGGAGGAGAGGAGCUUGGAGAUUGUGGCUGAGAAUAUGAAGCAUGUUUGGGCCAGAGAUUACAGGGACAACCGCCUGGCUGGCUUCCAUGUCGAGAAGUUGAUCUUUUCCCUGUGGAGGACCAAGCGCCUUACUCCUCCCUUGCUUCACUCGCUCAUCUUGCCCCAAAUGACAGUGCUCAACCUUUCCUUUUGCUCAGACUUGGUCAAGAGGGAUGCUGCCCGAAUCAUCGCUAUGCGUUGCAAGAAUCUCUCUUCGCUGAAUCUCCAUGGAUGCAAGUGGAUACCAGUAACUGCUCUCACAGACCCAGUGCAACAAAAGAGUGUUAUCAGCUCUGGCCUCCUCCUGCCAGCGGCUUCAAGAACUCAACAUCUCCUGGUGUAACAAACUGUCUCUGGUUUCUCUUCCCCAUCUUGCCUAUAACUGCACUCAAGGCUCUUUCUGUUGCCAGGCAUUGGAAAAGCUUGCCAUUUUUGGACUGGGUGGCAGGGGAGACCAGUUUUCAGCCCUGGCCUUCAUGCUGCUGGCAUUAUCCAAUCUGAAGCACUUGGGUCAUGAAUUUGCUUCCGAGGCCGUAGUAAUAAUCCACAAGCGGCAAUUUGAGAAGGUUCAGUUGCCCCAUGGGUUUCCCAGCCUCGCUGAGGUGGCACAGCUGAUGAUCUCCACCCAGAUGAAUGAGGGGAGAUCCACAUUUUCUCUGCCCCUGUUGGAAAUAGAUAAAGUUGGCCAGUCGUUCUUGCCUAUAUUGAGUGCCAUGUGCCCAUUUUUGGCGAAUGUGAAUGUGGAGCUUAGAAACAAUUCUCCCUUGGUCCCAAAUUUCUUCAAUUGCCGCCAUCUUACUCACUUGAGCCUUAGUUGUGGGAAAGACAGCCCCAGGGACCUGAGGGACCUUUUGCCAGUGACAGCAUUCCUUGGGGCCCAACUUCAAUCCCUCAUAAUCCAUGACUUCUCCUUUGUGAAAGAAUUCUCUUUCCAUGCUCUGCUGCGCCAUUGCCCAAAACUCCAGGAGUUCGAAGUUUCAUUCUUUCCACCGAGGCCUAGACAUGACAGACAGCUAGAUGCUUAGACCACAGACUGGGAUUUCAGCCUUCCCCUUGAAUUUCCUCAGCUUUCUAAAUUCUAUGUGGAGUGUUCCACAAAGUGGACUCCCCUGCCUCACUACCAUGCCAUGGUGUUAAGACAGUGUGUUGUAGACCUCAUGAAACAAUCACCUUGUCUAAAAUCCUUGAAUUUGACCCGUCUGCCUUUCUCCCUGGAUCAAGUAUUUAAGGAGGUGGUGAAAGCCCCUGGAGCUGCCUUGCAACAACUCUGUGACCUUAGUCUAGUUCAAGUGAAGAUAUCCAUGUGCACAAUCCACCUGCUGUUGUCCUUGGAGAAUCCACUGGAACUACUGAUCCUGAAUAGCUGCCCAGGCAUAGAUAAGGAGGAGUAUGAAGAGCUCCUCACUAGAAUCGUCAGGGAAGGCCUUGACCUAAAUAUUGAUUGGCAAUGAAGAGCCCUCUAGAGAUUUUGCUGGGCAGAUUGGAGGUUUCCCUAUUUCCCUUCCUGAACUGUCAUUUUUGUUCCAACAGAAAAAUGAAGUUCCACAGGGAAAAAUCCCUUUAUCAGUGAGAGAAAUGCUUUUUAAGAUGGGUUUACUCCAGGAGGUGGGCACCUGAAGUUUUGGGGGAUUUAGCUUCCAUAAUCCAUAAUUCUGAGUUAGAUCUCAGAAACAUCAGGUGGGUUGUGGUUGCCAGAAAAUUUGUAGUAAAGGCAAUCCCCAGAAUUAAAGAAUUUGAAGUCUCCCCCUCGUUUUGCAUUCUAUGUAACCUAGAAGUACUAUUUAGCAUAUAUAUUGAAUCACUUUUAAAGCUUCAGUUUUGUACUAGUGUACCCUGUUCCAAAGACAGAGCUGCAAAUUUGGGGUGGUGGCCUUCUAGGAUAUAAGGUUUGAACUGAGAACUGAUAAUAGUGAACUCUCCAGCUAUGGUUUUGUGUGUGUGUGUGUGUGAGUUAUUCAGGUUAUGAGGCCAUAUUGUAGAGUUUAUUCUUAGGAAUAAACUCUUCUAUAACAUGGCCUCAUAGCCUGAAAAACCCCACAAAAACCUAUGGAUGCUAGUCGUGAAAGCCUUCAUCUCCAGCUGUGCUUUGUCAUAAAUAGCAUAUGACCAGUAGAUGAAGAUGGUUUCAUUUGAAAAUAAGAAUUUAAUAUCUUUCCACAUUAAAACUGAUUUUACUCAAAACCUUUUAAAAUUAAUUUACUUUAAAUCUUAUAAUUGCACUAAUGUCUCAUAAUAAGAAUGGCAUUUAUUUCAGGGUUUCCUCAUAUUUCCAUCCCCUCCUCCAUGACUUUAACAUUUCUGGAAACGUAAUAUCUCUGGCUUCAGUGUGGCCCAGGCAGCUUUCACCUUGUGCUGGGCCCAAGAGAAAAUGUGUAUUCAUAAACAGUGGUUUGGAUCGUGGGCAUUUUCAACUUUGAUUUAAAUAUAGAUAAAACUGCAGGAAAACUGGGGAGAUCAACAGGUUCCUGACAAUGCAGGUCAAGUGCAUGUGUUGGGCCAGAAUUCAAAGACCUAGCAUUGUUAGUCUGAAAAAUCAGUUUUCAA
Sceloporus undulatus (fence lizard) is the source of this 3723-nucleotide RNA transcript. RefSeq lists it as uncharacterized. The record is from RefSeq and is a predicted model, not a curated record. The transcript is spliced from 5 exons. Lineage: Eukaryota; Metazoa; Chordata; Lepidosauria; Squamata; Phrynosomatidae.